This 301-nucleotide ribosomal RNA is filed under the name uncultured bacterium. Its description in RNAcentral is "partial 16S ribosomal RNA". It matches the Rfam family "Bacterial small subunit ribosomal RNA", at positions 509 to 807 of the family's 1533-position model. The record is from RNAcentral.
CAGCCGCCGCGGGAAUACGUAGGUGGCAAGCGUUGUCCGGAAUUAUUGGGCGUAAAGGGCUCGCAGGCGGUUUCUUAAGUCUGAUGUGAAAGCCCCCGGCUCAACCGGGGAGGGUCAUUGGAAACUGGGAAACUUGAGUGCAGAAGAGGAGAGUGGAAUUCCACGUGUAGCGGUGAGAUGCGUAGAGAUGUGGAGGAACACCAGUGGCGAAGGCGACUCUCUGGUCUGUAACUGACGCUGAGGAGCGAAAGCGUGGGGAGCGAACAGGAUUAGAUACCCCGGUAGUCCCUGUCUCUUAUAC